UACGUAGGUGGCAAGCGUUGUCCGGAUUUACUGGGCGUAAAGAGCGCGCAGGCGGUCGUUCAAGUCGCGUGUGAAAGCCCCCGGCUCAACUGGGGAGGGUCACGCGAUACUGAUCGACUCGAAGGCAGGAGAGGGUAGUGGAAUUCCCGGUGUAGUGGUGAAAUGCGUAGAUAUCGGGAGGAACACCAGUGGCGAAGGCGGCUCACUGGCCCGGUACUGACGCUGAGGUGCGAAAGCGUGGGGAGCAAACAGG
Molecule: ribosomal RNA, 253 nt
Filed under: uncultured bacterium
Lineage: Bacteria
Description: partial 16S ribosomal RNA
Rfam family: Bacterial small subunit ribosomal RNA
Source: RNAcentral